GGGUGCUUAGCUCAGUUGGUAGAGCGGCGCCCUUACAAGGCGUAGGUCGGGAGUUCAAGCCUCUCAGCACCCA
RNAcentral lists this transfer RNA (73 nucleotides) under Paraburkholderia sp. BL27I4N3. Its description in RNAcentral is "tRNA-Val". It matches the Rfam family "tRNA". Rfam says of the family: Transfer RNA (tRNA) molecules are approximately 80 nucleotides in length. Their secondary structure includes four short double-helical elements and three loops (D, anti-codon, and T loops). The record is from RNAcentral. Lineage: Bacteria; Pseudomonadati; Pseudomonadota; Betaproteobacteria; Burkholderiales; Burkholderiaceae.